Molecule: long non-coding RNA, 362 nt
Organism: Actinia tenebrosa (Australian red waratah sea anemone)
Lineage: Eukaryota; Metazoa; Cnidaria; Anthozoa; Actiniaria; Actiniidae
Source: RefSeq, a predicted model, not a curated record
CAAAAAAUGGCGUCCAUCACAACUGGAGAAGUUGAUACAACUUAGUAGUCGUAAUUUACGAGAUGAAGAGGUCAGCAUGUUGGUAGCUUCAUUUGCCCACAGGAACAUCCUGUCACAAGACAUUUGGUCCUUGGUAUUUGGCUGUGCUGUACAAGUUGACUAGAAGUGCAAGUCGUAUCCGAGUGGUGACAAUGCCUGUAUAUCAACUGUAAAGAUAAGAGACAUUCACAGGUUUCACGAUUUAAAUAGUGAGAUAUUCUAACGCUCGCAGAGACACAGAAUAAUAUUAUAUCUGUCAUUCAUCUGUAUUUGGUUUGAAAAAAAAAACACGACAAACUGGAAAGGGCAAACCUGAGGAAAAA